AGGGAUGUAGUUAAUUAUAACAUUUGAGUUGCAUUCAAAAAGUAUCAUACUCUGAUCUUCCUUA
RNAcentral lists this transfer RNA (64 nucleotides) under Creobroter sp. JZ-2017. RNAcentral's name for it is "tRNA-Ala". The record is from RNAcentral. Lineage: Eukaryota; Metazoa; Arthropoda; Insecta; Mantodea; Hymenopodidae.